UCUACCAUGGCAGCGACCUGGCAGAGCUGGAGGGAGAGCUCACUGAUGACCUCUGCACCAUCAUCUCCACCAGGCCAGAGCCAAAGCCAAAGCCCUGCACUGUGCAGUGCCCCAAGGGCGAGAAGGGAGACCGCGGUGAGGCAG
Sturnus vulgaris (Common starling) is the source of this 144-nucleotide non-coding RNA. NCBI's taxonomy places the organism in Eukaryota, Metazoa, Chordata, Aves, Passeriformes, Sturnidae. The record is from RefSeq and is a predicted model, not a curated record.